RNAcentral lists this small RNA (78 nucleotides) under Flavobacterium sp. KMS. RNAcentral describes it as "Flavo-1 RNA". It matches the Rfam family "Flavo-1 RNA". Lineage: Bacteria; Pseudomonadati; Bacteroidota; Flavobacteriia; Flavobacteriales; Flavobacteriaceae. The record is from Rfam by way of RNAcentral.
UCCUAGCCCUGAUGGUAGCGGCAUCCUUUUUCUGGCUUUUUUUGCCAGUAAAAGAUAUAGCGGACAGCAGGAAAUAGC